GGCGUAGUGGGCACUGCGCUCGCCUUGCAAGCGAGAGACCCGGGUUCGAUUCUCGGCGGCGUCA
Molecule: transfer RNA, 64 nt
Filed under: Diaphorina citri (Asian citrus psyllid)
Lineage: Eukaryota; Metazoa; Arthropoda; Insecta; Hemiptera; Psyllidae
Rfam family: tRNA
About the family: Transfer RNA (tRNA) molecules are approximately 80 nucleotides in length. Their secondary structure includes four short double-helical elements and three loops (D, anti-codon, and T loops).
Source: Rfam by way of RNAcentral